AGGGUAAUAGAGGAGUUGGUCGUCCUCGCUUGCUUUGGGCGCAAGAGAUCCCUGGUUCGAAUCCAGGUUACCCUA
Transfer RNA from Chryseolinea serpens, 75 nucleotides. It matches the Rfam family "tRNA". Rfam says of the family: Transfer RNA (tRNA) molecules are approximately 80 nucleotides in length. The record is from Rfam. NCBI's taxonomy places the organism in Bacteria, Pseudomonadati, Bacteroidota, Cytophagia, Cytophagales, Fulvivirgaceae.